GUAUUUGGUCGUAGACCCGAAACCAGGUGAUCUACCCUUGGUCAGGUUGAAGUUCAGGUAACACUGAAUGGAGGACCGAACCGACUUACGUUGAAAAGUGAGCGGAUGAACUGAGGGUAGCGGAGAAAUUCCAAUCGAACCUGGAGAUAGCUGGUUCUCUCCGAAAUAGCUUUAGGGCUAGCCUCAAGUGAUGAUUAUUGGAGGUAGAGCACUGUUUGGACGAGGGGCCCCUCUCGGGUUACCGAAUUCAGACAAACUCCGAAUGCCAAUUAAUUUAACUUGGGAGUCAGAACAUGGGUGAUAAGGUCCGUGUUCGAAAGGGAAACAGCCCAGACCACCAGCUAAGGUCCCAAAAUAUAUGUUAAGUGGAAAAGGAUGUGGCGUUGCCCAGACAACUAGGAUGUUGGCUUAGAAGCAGCCAUCAUUUAAAGAGUGCGUAAUAGCUCACUAGUCGAGUGACACUGCGCCGAAAAUGUACCGGGGCUAAACAUAUUACCGAAGCUGUGGAUUGUCCUUUGGACAAUGGUAGGAGAGCGUUCUAAGGGCGUUGAAGCAUGAUCGUAAGGACAUGUGGAGCGCUUAGAAGUGAGAAUGCCGGUGUGAGUA
This 606-nucleotide ribosomal RNA is filed under the name Staphylococcus aureus. RNAcentral's name for it is "partial 23S ribosomal RNA". It matches the Rfam family "Bacterial large subunit ribosomal RNA", at positions 699 to 1308 of the family's 2925-position model. Lineage: Bacteria; Bacillati; Bacillota; Bacilli; Caryophanales; Staphylococcaceae. The record is from RNAcentral.